Molecule: ribosomal RNA, 740 nt
Filed under: uncultured bacterium
Lineage: Bacteria
Description: bacterial SSU rRNA
Rfam family: Bacterial small subunit ribosomal RNA
Source: RNAcentral
AACGCGUAUGCAAUCUGCCUUUUACUAGGGUAUAGCCCAGAGAAAUUUGGAUUAAUCCCCUAUAAUAUCAUUUAAUCGCAUGAUUUUAUGAUUAAAGCUUCGGCGGUAAAAGAUGAGCAUGCGUCCUAUUAGUUAGUAGGUGAGGUAACGGCUCACCUAGACUCCGAUAGGUAGGGGUCCUGAGAGGGAGAUCCCCCACACUGGUACUGAGACACGGACCAGACUCCUACGGGAGGCAGCAGUGAGGAAUAUUGGACAAUGGACGAAAGUCUGAUCCAGCUAUGCCGCGUGCAGGAUGACGGCCCUAUGGGUUGUAAACUGCUUUUAUACAGGAAGAAAAACUCCGACGUGUCGGAACUUGACGGUACUGUAAGAAUAAGGAUCGGCUAACUCCGUGCCAGCAGCCGCGGUAAUACGGAGGAUCCAAGCGUUAUCCGGAAUCAUUGGGUUUAAAGGGUCCGUAGGCGGUUUUUUAAGUCAGAGGUGAAAUCCUGCAGCUCAACUGUAGAAUUGCCUUUGAUACUGAAAGACUUGAGUUAUUGUGAAGUGGUUAGAAUGUGUGGUGUAGCGGUGAAAUGCAUAGAUAUCACACAGAAUACCAAUUGCGAAGGCAGAUCACUAACAAUAUACUGACGCUCAGGGGCGAAAGCGUGGGUAGCGAACAGGAUUAGAUACCCUGGUAGUCCACGCCGUAAACGAUGGAUACUAGCUGUAUGUCUACCUCAGGUAGAUGUGUGGCU